GACGAACGCUGGCGGCGUGCUUAACACAUGCAAGUCGAACGGACAGGCCCUGCGUUUGCGGGGUGGUCGAUUGGCGAACGGGUGAGUAACACGUGUGUAACCUGCCCCUGUCUUUGGGAUAACUUCAGGAAACUGGGGCUAAUAUCGGAUAGGAUCUCCUGCUGCACGGUGGGGGUUGGAAAGUUUCGGCGGUUGGGGAUGGAUUCGCGGCUUAUCAGCUGGUUUGGGGGGUAGUGGAUUACCAAGGGUUUGACGGGUAGGCGGCAUGAGAGGGUGACCGGCGACAUGAGGACUGAGAGAGGGCGCAGAAGGCAAUGGGACGCAGUAGUCGGGAAUAUUACAGAAUGGGCGGAAGUGUGAUGUAGCAGCGCCGCGUGCGGAAUGCCGUCUUUUGGGUUGUAAACCGCUUUCGCCUGUGACGAACCGUGAUUGACGGUAAUGGGUAAAGAAGCACCGGCUAACUACGUG
Molecule: ribosomal RNA, 468 nt
Filed under: uncultured bacterium
Lineage: Bacteria
Description: partial 16S ribosomal RNA
Rfam family: Bacterial small subunit ribosomal RNA
Source: RNAcentral